RNAcentral lists this ribosomal RNA (430 nucleotides) under uncultured bacterium. RNAcentral's name for it is "bacterial SSU rRNA". It matches the Rfam family "Bacterial small subunit ribosomal RNA", at positions 917 to 1349 of the family's 1533-position model. The record is from RNAcentral.
GGGCCCGCACAAGCGGUGGAGUAUGUGGUUUAAUUCGAUGCAACGCGAAGAACCUUACCAGGGUUUGACAUCCUGCGAAUCUCUUGGAAACGAGAGAGUGCCUUCGGGAACGCAGUGACAGGUGGUGCAUGGCUGUCGUCAGCUCGUGUCGUGAGAUGUUGGGUUAAGUCCCGCAACGAGCGCAACCCACGUCGUUAGUUGCCAGCAUUUAGUUGGGCACUCUAGCGAGACCGCCGGUGAUAAACCGGAGGAAGGUGUGGAUGACGUCAAGUCAUCAUGCCCCUUACAUCCUGGGCUACACACGUACUACAAUGCUACGGACAAAGGCAGCAAACUCGCGAGAGCUAGCAAAUCCCAUAAACCGUGGCUCAGUUCAGAUCGUAGGCUGCAACUCGACUUCAUGAAGCUGGAGUUGCUAGUAAUCCCGGAU